GAGCUGUUUUUUCCCUCCACUUACGGUUUUCUAAUUAUGCUAUCCAAUCCAAAAUUUGUUUAGGGACCUAAAGUAAUCGUUUGUAGAGUCUUCCUUUUUUGUUUACUUGAUUGAAAUCAUUUUUAUACAGAUGAAAGAUAUAUGCAGUUCGUUGUUCGUCAGUUGGCAGCACCAGCUCAUUUUGCUAUUCUUCUUAGGUAAAUCCAC
RNAcentral lists this long non-coding RNA (207 nucleotides) under Mytilus galloprovincialis (Mediterranean mussel). Lineage: Eukaryota; Metazoa; Mollusca; Bivalvia; Mytilida; Mytilidae. The record is from RNAcentral.